AGACGUGGUAGAGUCAACCUAUUCCUCUUACUGCCUUCAAUGUGUCCAAUCACAAUAUUUGUGCCCCAUCAGUGUGCUGGAACUUCUCUGCUGGACUCCUGGAAUUCCACGAGAGCUUUCUCAUCCAUGGAGGUUGUCUGGAGGCCAAGAAGUUCUAACAUCUGCCAUUGGCAAGCUAAAGAGGCAGGAGAGCUGAUGUUCCAGCCCCAGGCCAAGUCUGAAGAAAUAGAAGACUUAUAUCUCACCUGGAGACAGCCAGGCAGAGAGAGAGUGAGUGCUCCCUGCCCCGCCUUUUUGUUCUAGUCAGGCCUUCGACAGAAUGGGUGAGGCCCACCCACAUUGCGGAAGGCAAUCUGCUUUACUCAGCCCAUGGAUUCGAAUGUCAAUGUCAUCAGGAAACACGGUCAUAGACACACCCAUAAGUAAUGCUUAACCACAUCUGGGUUAAGUCAUGGCCCAGUCAAGUUGACACGUAAAACUAGCCACCACAACUGCAGAAGUCCUCAAACACAGCUCCCCUGUUUCACCUUUAGUCAGUAUCUUCCAGAGAAUCUGUCUCCUCCACUCUGACCUCAGGACCAAUACUUACAAAGAUUUUCCCUACAUUUAGGGGCAUUGUAAUCACAGAAGGUGUGUACAUUAUCAGUCUACAAAAUAGGACACAGCCAGGGCCUGCCCACCUCAUGCCCUCAGCCAAGUGUCUGGUUUAUAAUAGCAGAAUAUUGGAAUCCAACCAUCAGACUUCCUCUCUCAGCACUCUUUUUACUCUCUAAAACUUGCAUUUUUGCAAUGUUUCCAAUUCUCACCAUAUUUUCCUUUAAUUUAUAAAUGUACUUAUAAUAAUUGCUUCAAAGUUCUUGUCUGCUAAUUGCAAUAUCUGGAUCAUGUAAUGGUUGCUAUCCAUUGGCUGCUUUUUUGUUUUGGAAGUCGAUCAACUUUACCCUUUUGCAUUCGAUCUGCAUUUCUUUGCAAAUGUUAUACUCUUUUAAUUGCAUAUUGGUAAUUAUGGAUGAAACAUUGUAGAGACUCCGGAUUUUGUUAUUUUCUGCUGAUGAGUGUCAUUUUUGUUCUUUCAUGCAGGUAGCUGGUUUUAAUCAAAUUUCCAACUCUGGCUCCUAGUGAUGGGCAGAAAUUGCUAGAAAGUGUUAUAUAUAGAUGCACCCUCAGUCUUUCUGAUGUCAUUUUUCA
Molecule: long non-coding RNA, 1188 nt
Filed under: Equus caballus (horse)
Lineage: Eukaryota; Metazoa; Chordata; Mammalia; Perissodactyla; Equidae
Description: lncRNA (ENSECAG00000039906.2)
Source: RNAcentral